AUUACUAAGCGGAGGAAAAGAAACUAACUAGGAUUCCCUUAGUAGCUGCGAGCGAACAGGGAUAAGCCCAGCACCGAAUCUCACGGAUGAUUUCAGACGUUGAGAAAUGUGGUGUUAGGGAGGAUUCAUUAUCUUGUCGUUGUACGGUGCGUCCAAGUCCUUCUUGAACGGGGCCACAGCCCAUAGAGGGUGCCAGGCCCGUAGUGACCACUGUCGAUAACAAGAGAAUCUCUCCUCAGAGUCGGGUUGCUUGAGAGUGCAGCCCUAAGUGGGUGGUAAACUCCAUCUAAGGCUAAAUAUGACCACGAGACCGAUAGCGAACAAGUACCGUGAGGGAAAGUUGAAAAGCACUUUGAAGAGAGAGUUCAAGAGUACGUGAAACCGUUUAGGUGUAAACCUGAGAAGCCCGAAAGAUCGAAUGAAGAAAUUCAUCGCGUUUCAUUGUUAGUUGAGUCUUGUGCUGUGACAAAAUUGUCUUUAUGGCAGUUGUGCACGCAUAAGGCAUCUGAUCUCUCGAUGUACGUGUGCAUUUUUCUUCAUGUAGGACGUCGCGAUCUGUUGAGUGUCGGUCUACGGCCCAUCAGGGAGCCCAGCAAGUGUACUCAAUCUUGUAUUGAUCAUUUGUUGGACCUGUGUGGUGUCCUGGCCGACUUGCUCGACGGUAUGCAGAUGACGUGAAGACGCGGCUUUUAGAGUACGCGUCCGACCCAUGGCAAGCGCGCCUGGUUUUCUGAUAGCAAUCGGACCUAGUGCCGAUUCUGUCGCCAGGUGACUGUUGGCUAUGGUGCUCUCGGACAGUCUUCAAUUGAAACGUCAAUCAGCGACGCUUUAGCUUUGGGUAAUUUCAGGACCCGUCUUGAAACACGGACCAAGGAGUCUAGCAUGUACGCAAGUCAUUGGGACUAGACUAAACCUAAAGGCGUAAUGAAAGUAAAGGUUCGCCUUGCGCGGAUCAAGGGAAGACGAUUGUUCACAGAUUUACUCUGUAUCAGUCUGCAUUCCCGGGGCGUCUCAUUCUCAUUGCGAGAAGAGGCGCACCAAGAGCGUACACGCUGGGACCCGAAAGAUGGUGAACUAUGCCUGGUCAGGACGAAGUCAGGGGAAACCCUGAUGGAGGUCCGUAGCGAUUCUGACGUGCAAAUCGAUCGUCGGAACUGGGUAUAGGGGCGAAAGACUAAUCGAACCAUCUAGUAGCUGGUUCCCUCCGAAGUUUCCCUCAGGAUAGCUGGCGCUCGUUGCGUACGAGUUUCAUCUGGUAAAGCGAAUGAUUAGAGGCAUUGGGGUCGAAACGACCUCAACCUAUUCUCAAACUUUAAAUGGGUGAGAACUCCGGCUUGCUUAUGUGAAGCCGCGAGAUAAACAAUUUUUAAAAUUGAAUCAGAGUGCCAAGUGGGCCAUUUUUGGUAAGCAGAACUGGCGCUGUGGGAUGAACCAAACGCCGAGUUAAAGCGCCUAAAUUGACGCUUAUGGGAUACCAUGAAAGGCGUUGGUAACUUAAGACAGCAGGACGGUGGCCAUGGAAGUCGGAAUCCGCCAAGGAGUGUGUAACAACUCACCUGCCGAAGUUACUAGCCCUGAAAAUGGAUGGCGCUGAAGCGUCGUGCUUAUACUCGGCCGUCAGCGGCAUGUGCGGUCGGUCUCUUUCNGGGGACGGCCAUGAAGCCCUGACGAGUAGGAGGGUCGCGGCGGUGAGCGCASAAGGGCUGGCCGUGAGGCCGUCUGGAGCCGCCGUCGGUGCAGAUCUUGGUGGUAGUAGCAAAUACUCCAGCGAGGCCCUGGAGGACUGACGUGGAGAAGGGUUUCGUGUGAACAGCCGUUGCACACGAGUCAGUCGAUCCUAAGCCCUAGGCGAAAGCCGAGGUUGAUGCGGUGUAGGUUUACAGCGUAAAGCACACACCCGUCGGGCGAAAGGGAAUCCGGUUCCUAUUCCGGAACCCGGCAGCGGAACCGCUAAUAAUUCGGGCCCUCGCAAGAGAGUUCGUCGGGGCAACCCAAAAGGACCCGGAGACGCCGUCGGGAGAUCCGGGAAGAGUUUUCUUUUCUGCAUGAGCGUUCGAGUUCCAUGGAAUCCUUUAGCAGGGAGAUAUGGUUUGGAACGCGAAGAGCACCGCAGUUGCAGCGGUGUCCGGAUCUUCCCCUCGGACCUUGAAAAUCCGGGAGAGGGCCACGUGGAGGCGUCGCGCCGGUUCGUACCCAUAUCCGCAGCAGGUCUCCAAGG
Molecule: ribosomal RNA, 2218 nt
Filed under: Toramus pulchellus
Lineage: Eukaryota; Metazoa; Arthropoda; Insecta; Coleoptera; Erotylidae
Description: eukaryotic LSU rRNA
Rfam family: Eukaryotic large subunit ribosomal RNA
Source: RNAcentral